UAGGCUGUUAUAAAAAUCCUGAGAUAGUCUGC
RNAcentral lists this non-coding RNA (32 nucleotides) under Rattus norvegicus (Norway rat). Lineage: Eukaryota; Metazoa; Chordata; Mammalia; Rodentia; Muridae. The record is from RNAcentral.